CACCGGCGGCUCGAGUGGUAACCGUUAUUAUUGGGUCUAAAGGGUCUGUAGCCGGCCGGAUAAGUCUCUUGGGAAAUCCGGCAGCUCAACUGUCGGGCAUUCAGGAGAUACUGUCUGGCUCGAGGCCGGGAGAGGUGAGAGGUACUUCAGGGGUAGGGGUGAAAUCUUGUAAUCCUUGAAGGACCACCAGUGGCGAAGGCGUCUCACCAGAACGGACCUGACGGCAAGGGACGAAAGCUAGGGGC
RNAcentral lists this ribosomal RNA (245 nucleotides) under uncultured archaeon. RNAcentral describes it as "partial 16S ribosomal RNA". It matches the Rfam family "Archaeal small subunit ribosomal RNA", at positions 474 to 718 of the family's 1478-position model. The record is from RNAcentral.